UUAGUGGCAUACNGGGUGCGUAACANCGUGAGCAACCCCUGCCUUGAAGUGGGGAAUAGCCGCGGGGAGAACCCGGAUUAAUACCGCAUGUGGUCUCUUUUCGCAUGAAAAGACGACUAAAGUUUGUAAUGACUCUUCAAGAGGGGCUCGCGGCCUAUCAGCUUGUUGGUGAGGUAAAGGCUCACCAAGGCAAAGACGGGUAGCUGGUCUGAGAGGAUGAUCAGCCACACUGGAACUGAGAUACGGUCCAGACACCUACGGGUGGCAGCAGUUUCGAAUCAUUCACAAUGGGGGAAACCCUGAUGGUGCAACGCCGCGUGGAGGAUGACGGCCUUCGGGUUGUAAACUCCUGUCACCAAGGAACAAACGGCAGGUUCAUAGCCUGUCCUGAGUUAACUUGGUGAGGAAGAGGUGGCUAACUCCGUGCCAGCAGCCGCGGUAAUACGGGAGACCUCGAGCGUUACUCGGAUUCACUGGGCGUAAAGAGUAUGUAGGCUGUUUGGUAUGUCAGGUGUGAAAGCCCGAAGCUCAACUUCGGAAUUGC
RNAcentral lists this ribosomal RNA (544 nucleotides) under uncultured organism. RNAcentral describes it as "bacterial SSU rRNA". It matches the Rfam family "Bacterial small subunit ribosomal RNA", at positions 92 to 624 of the family's 1533-position model. The record is from RNAcentral.